GACGAACGCUGGCGGCGUGCUUAACACAUGCAAGUCGAGCGGUAGGGCCCUUUCGGGGGUACGACGAGCGGCGAACGGGUGAGUAACACGUGGGUAAUCUACCUUCGAGUGGGGAACGAAACAACCGGGAAACUAGGUGCUAAUUCCGCAUAACAUCGUCGGGGCGUUCGGUUCUGACGCUCAAAGACUGGGGAGUCGCAAGACCUAGCGCUUGAAGAUGAGCCCG
Molecule: ribosomal RNA, 226 nt
Filed under: uncultured bacterium
Lineage: Bacteria
Description: partial 16S ribosomal RNA
Rfam family: Bacterial small subunit ribosomal RNA
Source: RNAcentral